CUGAAACAGCAUCAGCAGCAUGCGCUAUACCCUCCAGGGAUGACAAUAUAACGAUACGCCUUAUGGUCUCGUUUGGAAGAGUAAUCUAAAAUUUACGAGACAUGGCAAGUCUGUGCCAGCAGCCGGUAAUCCAGCUCCCUGCGUAUAUAAAGUGCAGUUAAAAGCUCNUAGUUGAACUUGGGGGCGAGGUCCGUCUAUGNCGNGUACUCCUGAGCCUCUCUUUCCGGGUUUUUCAUUUAUGAAGAUCUUCUNUGAAUAAACAGUGUUCAAAGCACCUUCCGAAUGUUACAGCAUGGAAUAAUAGAAUNGGCGCNUGGUUCUAUUUUGUUGUUCUAGGACCAUCUAAUGAUUAAUGGGACGGUGGGCAUCAGUAUUCAAUUGCCAGAGGUGAAAUUCUGGACUUAUGAAGAUACUGCGAAGCAUUUCCAAGGACUUUCAUUAUCAAGAACGAAAGUUAGGGGAUCGAAGAUGAUCAGAUACCGUGUAGUCUNAACCAUAAACUAUGCCGACUCAAUGGGCUCGUGCUUUAUUAUUAGGCCGAGUCUGCGGGUUNCGAGAAAUCAAAGUCUUUGGGUUCUGGGGGGAGUAUNGUCGCAAGGCUGAAACUUAAAGGAAUUGACGGAAGGGCACCACCAGGAGUNGNGCCUGCGGCUUAAUUUGACUCAACACGGGGAAACUCACCAGGUCCAGACACAAUAAGGAUUGACAGAUUGAGAGCUCUUUCUUGAUUUUGUGGGUGGUGGUGCAUGGCCGUUCUUAGUUGGUGGAGUGAUUUGUCUGCUUAAUUGCGAUAACGAACGAGACCUUAACCUUUAAAUAGGGGGGUCUGCUUUUUGCAGGCUGCUCCUUCUUAGAGGACUACGA
Molecule: ribosomal RNA, 864 nt
Filed under: Barnettozyma californica
Lineage: Eukaryota; Fungi; Ascomycota; Saccharomycetes; Phaffomycetales; Phaffomycetaceae
Description: SSU rRNA
Rfam family: Eukaryotic small subunit ribosomal RNA
Source: RNAcentral